Molecule: ribosomal RNA, 611 nt
Filed under: uncultured bacterium
Lineage: Bacteria
Description: bacterial SSU rRNA
Rfam family: Bacterial small subunit ribosomal RNA
Source: RNAcentral
CGCUGGCGGCGUGCCUAAUACAUGCAAGUCGAGCGGAUGAUGGAGGAGCUUGCUCCUCUAGAUUCAGCGGCGGACGGGUGAGUAACACGUGGGCAACCUGCCCUGUAGAUUGGGAUAACUCCGGGAAACCGGGGCUAAUACCGAAUAAUCCUUCGGACCUCAUGGUCCGAUGUUGAAAGACGGCUCCGGCUGUCACUACAGGAUGGGCCCGCGGCGCAUUAGCUAGUUGGUGAGGUAACGGCUCACCAAGGCGACGAUGCGUAGACCACCUGGGAGGGUGAUCGGCCACACUGGGACUGAGACACGGCCCAGACUCCUACGGGAGGCAGCAGUAGGGAAUCUUCCACAAUGGACGAAAGUCUGAUGGAGCAACGCCGCGUGAGUGAAGAAGGUUCUCGGAUCGUAAAACUCUGUUGUGAGGGAAGAACAAGUACCGGAGUAACUGCCGGUACCUUGACGGUACCUCAUUAGAAAGCCACGGCUAACUACGUGCCAGCAGCCGCGGUAAUACGUAGGUGGCAAGCGUUGUCCGGAAUCAUUGGGCGUAAAGCGCGCGCAGGCGGUCCCUUAAGUCUGAUGUGAAAGCCCACGGCUCAACCGUGGAGGGUCAU